Molecule: long non-coding RNA, 5365 nt
Filed under: Equus asinus (donkey)
Lineage: Eukaryota; Metazoa; Chordata; Mammalia; Perissodactyla; Equidae
Description: lncRNA (ENSEASG00005025899.1)
Source: RNAcentral
GUGGAUCUUAUUUUGACAUUUUGGAGGUGCUUCCCGUUUUACCUCUUAACUUCACGAGAAUCCAUGUGAAUGCACUGUUUGUGUAUAGCCUCUUUUGUUCCACAUUGCAUUCAAGUUUUUGGGUCACUGUAGCUCAUUCCUUUUCGUUGCACUACACUUGUGUUUCUCUGCGUGGACCUGUCACAAUUUAACAUCCGUCGUAUGAUCUGUGAACACAGGGUGCUUUUCUUUUGGAAUACUAUGAAGAGAGCUCCUGUGACCAUUAUUGUCCAGGAACAUGAUGCAAAUAAGCAGAAGUUUCUCAGGUAUUUGCCUAAGAGUGCAAUAGCUAAGUUAUAGGGUACUUGAGACUUCAAUUUAGCCAGAAAAUAAAAGUACUAUUUCCAAGUGGCGUGCCGGUUUACAUUUCUAAAAAGUUGAUGAGCGUUUCCACUGUUCCACAGGAGUACGUGGAAUUUUCAGUCUUAUAUAGCCAAUCUUGUGGGUGGGUAUGAUGUCUCUUGGUGGCUGUACAGUCUGCGUUUCUCGGAAUGCUGAUGAGGUUGAACACCUUCACAAAUGUUUUUUGACCCAUCCUUUACAUUUUGACUCCCCUAAAAUGAGCUCUCCUCCCCACCCAUCUGUCCCAACUGCUCUACUCCGGGAUAACAGUGAAUGACUCUCCAUUGUCAAAUCAAACGAUUGACGCUCAGUGCUCACCUGUGGACCCAUCAGCAACAUUUCAAAGAUAAUCGGUGCGUUCCCAUUUGCCUUUUGGAAGGAUCACUCUGCCUGCUGGGUGGAAAAUAGGCUGCUGGGGAAGCCAGGGUGGAAGCAGGGAGCCCAGUUAAAGACUUCUGCGGUUGUCUAGGAGGGAGCUGAUGGUGACUUGGAGUGCAUUGGAGAGUUGGGGGUGGUGAUAAGAGGUCACAUUCUGGAUAUAUGUGGAAGGUAGAGCCAAGGGAAUCUGCGGACGGACUGGAUUUGGAGUGUAAAUCUCUCCUAGAAACACUGUCUUCUCUUGGUUUUCAGGACAACAUUCUCUCUUGGUGGUACCCCUACCACACCGGCCAGUCUUUCUCCCACUUCUUUUCUGAAUCCUCCUCAUCUUAUCCACAGCUACACAUGGGACGCCCUGGAAGUAAGUCCUCACCCAGUCCUGGGAUCUCUUCCUUUCUCUAGCUCUACUCGGAGUGCUCCUGAGGGCAGUGUCACCCAGUCCCGUGGCUUGGAAUAUCAUCUGUACACGGACAACUGUCAGAUGUACAUCUCUGCUGAUUUCUCUCCUGAGUUCCAGACUCAGUCAUCUUGCUGCCUAGCUGACAUGCCCACUUGGGUGUUUAAUGGGCGUCUCUAACUAAAGGUGUCUGAGGCCUGCGCGCGCUCUCUCUCUGUCUCUCUCUGUCUCUGUCUCACUCUGUCUCUCUCUCUCUUUCUCUCAUACUCUACGUCUGCUCCAUCAGCAGAUCCUUUCAGCUCUACCUCACAUUAUACCCAGACUCCAGCCUCCUCUCACCACCGCCACUUCAGCCACCUUCCUGAAAGCUGCCAACAUCACCCACUUGGCAAAUCACAAGAGUCUCUAAGGGUCCUCUGCUUCUGCGGUUGCCCAGUGCCCUGCACCUGCCUGUUCCUUGUUGACAUGGCAGAUGGAGUGAUCCUUCAGUGCUUCUCAGUUCCGGCCCCUCCUUUGCUAAAACCCUUCCAUGCUUCCCAUCUCCACUGACACAAAAGCAUCGUUCCUUACCAAGUCUUCACGUGACCUGUCUCCAGCCACAGCCCUCGACCACUGCUCUCCGCGAUGCUCCCUCUGUCCAGACAUGCUGACCUCCUUGCUGUGCUUCAAACAUGCCAAGCGAGCUCCUGUCUCAGGACCUUUUCACUUAGAGGUCCCUCUGCUUGGCUUGCCCUUCCCCUGAUACCUGCAGUGCUUCUUCCUCACUUUCUCCAUGUCCCUCAGAUGCCGCCUUAUCAGACAGAACUUCUCUGACCACGGCUUAAAAUAGCACUCCACCCUCACAUCACUCCCGUUCCCCGGGCACUGCUUCAUUUUGUUCCAUCGCACAUAUUCCAACCUGGCACAUCGUAUACUUAUCUGUUGACUGAUGUCAGGUUUGUAAUUUUUUAAACGUUCAUGGGAUCAGAGACUUUGUCUCAUUUACUAUCAUUUCCACGGUACUAGAACAGUUCUUAGGUAAAGACUCAACCGAGGUGGAAUGAAUGAACGAAUGAGUGAGUGAAUAGAGAGGGGUAACCUGUAUCGGUCCCUUAGUAAACUCAGACUUCUGUAGAAAGCAUCCAGCUUGGACAGCAAGGCCUGGAAUGUGGAAGUUGGCCCGCCCUGAGCCACCUGCACAUUAAGGAUUGAAGAUACGGUGGGGAGAGGGAGAAAGCUAGAAUGCCUGAUUCAGGAUCCAGGAAGCAGGAUUGCUUUUAAUGCCACCGUGGUCUUGGGUGGGGCUCUGAGGAAAAGAAUAAAGUCCCUACCAGUCUUACCCCUAACUGGGCCCAAGGCACACAUCAACCAAAUCUUGCUACUCACCCCAGAGAUUUAUAAUUUACUAGGGGAAAUAGAAUGUGUUUGCAAAUGACUGUAUGUCAGGUCAGAAUGCCGUGGAUAUAAAGGAAAUUCAGUAUUAUGACUUGAUAAUGGAUAAAUCUUGUCGUUGCUGAACAACGUACAGUGAAUAAUACAAUCUUACAUCCAUCAUCGCAUUUUAUUUUAGAUCUUCUCGGCAUUUAUUUGAGCGCCCGCUGCACGCCAAGCGCUGCGCUAGGUAGCAGCACACACGUGCCCUAAUUUAAUCUCUCAGCCACUCUGUGAGAGGCAUCCUUUGUGCGAUCGUCUUACUAGGGAGGAAUCCCAGGCCCGAGGAAGUGAAGUUCCAUGUCUAAGACCAGUCAGCCAGAAUGUAACACCCGAGACUUAGGGACAUGGACUAUGAAAGCCCCCUCAAUCAGAGAAAAGGUGACUUUCUUCUUUUGAAAAAAGGUGCUCUUUUGCUCAGAAAAUUCUUCCCGGUAGGAUUCGUCAGGCUAGAAGGACGCAGGACUCAAAGCUUACGCGGCACUCACGCUCUUAGCAUCCGAGGAGAAGACAAGAGCUCUCACAGUGCCUAUGGGAUACGUUCUGAGAAAUGUUCCGAUAGGCGACUUCGUUGUUGUGUGAACAUCACAGAGCGUACUCACGCAAUCCUAGAUGGCAUGGCCUACUACACACCCAGGCUAUAUGGGACUCAUCUUAGGGCACCAGCAUCGUAUAUGCGGUCCGUCAUUGACCAAAACGUCGUUUUGCGGCACAUGGCUGUGUUUGGAUUGGUUAUAAAAACAGCUAGUCUGACAGUAAAGAUGACUAAAAAUCGUAUCUGUCCUGGAAAAUCCGCGAAAAAGCUCACAGGUUCUGUUUUUAGGUGCAUCGUUAUAUAAAACGUAAAUACUUCAAUGCAGACUCUCAGUAGUUGGGGGAUUUGAUUCGAUGUACUGAUACCAUUUUGUUGCAACAGUUUUAGUUUUCCUAUGAGGAGAUUCCCGCCUGUGAGCUUUCCUUAAAUCGUGACACAUCAGUUACCUCAAAGUUGGGGUCCGUUCUCAUUUUCAAAGAGCAAGGAAUUAAUUGGUGGGCUUUUCGUUAUUUGGCAUAUUUAUUUGCAUUUCUUUAUUUUUCUAGUGACCUAAUGUAUCCACGGAACUAUAAAGGAUGGCUUUGGGUGGAUCUGGGGUCAGGGGAGGGCAUGAGGGAGAGCCUUUUCUCCUGUUCCCGGGCACUGACACUAUGCCUUUUAAAUUUCUAUUUUCCAUGUGAAAUUGUCUGCACUAACACCCAGCUCGUGAUUAUUAGGUGACUGAAAAUGCGUUACUGGAAGAAAUGCUGUGGUUUCGGAGUUUAUUCCCUUUGUCUCUUACAAGGUUUUCUUUCCGUUUCUUCAUGAAUGCAUGGGUACCUCCAGAAUUUGAGAUUCUGAGAACAUGUUCCACGAGUAAACACCUUUCUCACUCUCAAAGCGCCAACUGGAAAUUUCACUCAACGACAAGGAUGCAUAUAUGCCCCCUCUUCUAUAGAAAACAACCACUUGAUGGUCUGUUUCAGACUGACUCUCCUGUAAGUUCUUUCCCUGAGUAUCCUCAAAGAGAGCCCACGUUUCGUUCAAAAAAGUAGAGAAAGGUCUGCUGGAGCAGUUUGAGGAGCCUCCGCUGGCGCUGUGAGAGUUGGACUAGAUAGGGGUAGGGAAGAGUAAGGUCACUCAGCGGGAACAAGACUGAUCAAAAGCCCAGAGUGGGAAGUGGCCGCGGUAUGGAACGGGGACGGAGGUUCUCCCUCUUAGACGUGCUGAUAGGAGGAAAUGUUUCUUUUCAAAAGUCACGGGAGACAACGGAUGGAAAUGGACAGGAGGACCCAAUUGUCACAGUCCCUUCAUGCCACACCAAGUUUAUCUUUCUACUCUAGAUCAUGGGGGAGCAAUGGCAGUUCCUGAACUUGACUGUGGUGACAAAAUCAGUGUCUGGGGAAUCACAGGAAGGCUGUUGGAGAGCCCAGUCAGAUCGAUUAUAGCAAUGAAAUACAGGGUGAGGUUGCAAACACUUGGUCACUGACGAUUCCACCUCUGUUGUUUUCUUUUUAGGUAUUUACAAAAAUAUUUUCUAACUGUGAGAAGAGUCACUACGUCUUUGUCAUUCACAAAUUGAUCCAACACUUUCGUUAUCCUCGUAUAUUUCAUCCCGGCAUAAUCUCUUUAUCCGAGCUGCAGAGGAGAGAGUGCAAUUUGACUCCAAAUUAUGAGGACAGUCCCCAAAACACUCCUACGUGGACCAGAAAAGAUGGCAGGCUAGAGACAUCCAAAGAAAGCGAGGACCGAUCCGAGUCUCCCAGGGAGGGGCAUGACCUCUGGACUCCAGGAGCGCUAAUAUUGGCAGCAUCCAAACGUCCUUAAAGAAGGCCAUUAAGUUAGCUAAGCACAUUUACCUGGAACUUAAAUCGUGAUUCCCUUAUAUUUGGUAAGUUGUUAAGACUACGUGAUGCCAAUGAGCUUUUAUUAUAGUCACCAUCAGCAUGUGCAGUUAGGAAGGCUGCCCCGUCUGUUCUCCACUGAAGUGCUUCUCAGCAGAAAUCCUCCACACCUUCUUCAAAAGUCUCUAAUGACAAGUUUACGUUUGGAGGCCUUCAGUCACCCACUUUCACCCUCUUUCUCAAAGCUCUCAGUUGACUGCCAACUAACGGUGUGUUUUCGCCAUGAAUCUUGAUCUUCUGGCAUGGGACAUUCUGAGAUUUGGUUACCAGCAAAUCUUGUGGCCUGGAAAGUUACAUAACUGAAGGCUUGAUUUUGGAUUUUGCUCUGAAGUUUAGUUUGUGUUCCACCCACAGUAAUUAACAUAACCCUCUUGAAAGCGG